This 148-nucleotide long non-coding RNA is filed under the name Mustela putorius furo (domestic ferret). RNAcentral's name for it is "lncRNA (ENSMPUG00000030269.1)". Lineage: Eukaryota; Metazoa; Chordata; Mammalia; Carnivora; Mustelidae. The record is from RNAcentral.
CAAACACUUAGCAUUAGACUUGGAAGAAGGAUUAAACAAUCCCAUGAAUGCCACUCAGAAGCUCUAAAACAUGUUUGCAAAUUUGGGGUACUUCUCCGAUUGAGAUUUGAGGUUUGAUAUAACUAGCUUCUCAUCUGCUUAAAAAAGG